AACGAACGCUGGCGGCGCGCCUAAUACAUGCAAGUCGAGCGAGAAGGUGUAGCAAUACACUUGUAAAGCGGCGAACGGGUGAGGAAUGCAUGGGUAACCUACCCUCGAGUGGGGAAUAACUAGCCGAAAGGUUAGCUAAUACCGCAUACGUUUCCGGAACUUCGGUUUCGGAAAGAAAGCAAUACCGUGGGUAUUGCGCUCCUGGAUGGGCUCAUGUCCUAUCAGCUUGUUGGUGAGGUAACGGCUCACCAAGGCUUCGACGGGUAGCUGGUCUGAGAGGACGAUCAGCCACACUGGCACUGCGACACGGGCCAGACUCCUACGGGAGGCAGCAGUAAGGAAUAUUGCGCAAUGGACGAAAGUCUGACGCAGCGACGCCGCGUGGGGGGAUGAAGGUCUUCGGAUUGGUAAACCCCUCUCGGGAGGGAAGAUGGAGUGGGUAACCACUUGGACGGUACCUCCAGAAGCAGCCACGGCUAACUUCGUGCCAGCAGCCGCGGUAAU
This 504-nucleotide ribosomal RNA is filed under the name uncultured bacterium. Its description in RNAcentral is "bacterial SSU rRNA". It matches the Rfam family "Bacterial small subunit ribosomal RNA", at positions 29 to 524 of the family's 1533-position model. The record is from RNAcentral.